RNAcentral lists this ribosomal RNA (465 nucleotides) under uncultured bacterium. RNAcentral describes it as "partial 16S ribosomal RNA". It matches the Rfam family "Bacterial small subunit ribosomal RNA", at positions 28 to 507 of the family's 1533-position model. The record is from RNAcentral.
GACGAACGCUGGCGGCGUGCUUAACACAUGCAAGUCGAACGGAAAGGCCCCUUUGGGGGUACUCGAGUGGCGAACGGGUGAGUAACACGUGAGUAACGUGCCCUUGACUUCGGGAUAACUUCAGGAAACUGGGGCUAAUACCGGAUAGGAAUCCUUGCUGCAUGGUGGGGGUUGGAAAGCUUCGGCGGUUUUGGAUGGACUCGCGGCUUAUCAGCUUGUUGGUGGGGUAGUGGCUUACCAAGGCUUUGACGGGUAGCCGGCCUGAGAGGGCGACCGGCCACAUUGGGACUGAGAGACGGCCCAGACUCCUACGGGAGGCAGAAGUGGGGAAUAUUGCACAAUGGGCGGAAGCCUGAUGCAGCAACGCCGCGUGCGGGAUGACGGCCUUCGGGUUGUAAACCGCUUUCAGCAGGGGCGAAGCUUGUGGUGACGGUACCUGCAGAAGAAGCACCGGCUAACUACGUG